RNAcentral lists this ribosomal RNA (1233 nucleotides) under Phytophthora infestans (potato late blight agent). Its description in RNAcentral is "eukaryotic LSU rRNA". It matches the Rfam family "Eukaryotic large subunit ribosomal RNA", at positions 70 to 1095 of the family's 3401-position model. Lineage: Eukaryota; Oomycota; Peronosporomycetes; Peronosporales; Peronosporaceae. The record is from RNAcentral.
CAGGAUUCCCCUAGUAACGGCGAGUGAAGCGGGAAGAGCUCAAGCUUAAAAUCUCCGUGCAAGUUUUGCGCGGCGAAUUGUAGUCUAUAGAGGCGUGAUCAGUGUGGGCGCUUGGGGCAAGUUCCUUGGAAGAGGACAGCAUGGAGGGUGAUACUCCCGUUCAUCCCUGAGUUGCUCGUGCGUACGAUCCGUUUUCUUUGAGUCGCGUUGUUUGGGAAUGCAGCGCAAAGUAGGUGGUAAAUUCCAUCUAAAGCUAAAUAUUGGUGCGAGACCGAUAGCGAACAAGUACCGUGAGGGAAAGAUGAAAAGAACUUUGAAAAGAGAGUUAAAGAGUACCUGAAACUGCUGAAAGGGAACCGAAUCGUUUCCAGUGUCUAUAAUCCGUGGUAUAUUUCAUUGGCGAGUGUGUGCGUGCGUGUGCUGUGGCAGCGGCUUUUUUGGCUGCGCUCGGCGUGUGUGCUGUGUGUGCUUGCUGGUGCCCUGUGCUGCGGUGGGACGUCAAGGUCAGUUCGUAUGCUGCGGGAAAUGGCCGCCGAGGAGGUAGGGCUUACGCUUGCGUUUGUCUGUUAUAUCUUGGUGGACGAGUAGUCGCGGUUGGGACUGAGGUGCCUACAACGUGUUUUUGAGUGGGCCUGUGUCUCUGUGUGCGCCGUGUGCGGAUAGCUUGCUAUGCGUGUGUGGUUGUGUGUGGAUUGAUGUGGGUUUUAACUUGUUGCCGUUCGGGACGUUGACGAAAUGGAGCGAUUUGACCCGUCUUGAAACACGGACCAAGGAGUCUAACAUGUGUGCAAGUGUUAGGGUGUGGAAACCCCAGCGCGAAAUGAAAGUGAAGGGCAGCGUAAGUUGUCUGAGGUAGGAAAUGCUGCGGGCUUCGGUCUGCGGUGUGGCACUAUCGACCGAUCAUGAACCUUCGUGGUGAAAGAUUUGAGUUUGAGCACAUAUGUUGGUACCCGAAAGAUGGUGAACUAUGCCUGAGUAGGGUGAAGCCAGGGGAAACUCUGGUGGAAGCUCGUAGCGAUUCUGACGUGCAAAUCGAUCGUCAAACUUGGGUAUAGGGGCGAAAGACUAAUCGAACCAUCUAGUAGCUGGUUCCCUCCGAAAUUUCCCUCAGGAUAGCAGCAACUUAUUUACGAUAGUUUUAUGAGGUAAAGCGAAUGAUUAGAGGAUUCGGGGAAGAAACUUCCUCGACCUAUUCUCAAACUUUAAAUCUGUAAGACCUGCAGGUUUCUUAAU